RNAcentral lists this ribosomal RNA (254 nucleotides) under uncultured bacterium. RNAcentral describes it as "partial 16S ribosomal RNA". It matches the Rfam family "Bacterial small subunit ribosomal RNA", at positions 524 to 776 of the family's 1533-position model. The record is from RNAcentral.
UACGGAGGGUGCAAGCGUUAUCCGGAUUCACUGGGCUUAAAGGGUGCGUAGGCGGUUUGGUAAGUUGGAUGUGAAAUCUCCAGGCUCAACUUGGAGGGGUCAUUCGAUACUGCCAUGACUAGAGUUCGGUAGGGGAGUGUGGAAUUCCUGGUGGAGCGGUGAAAUGCGCAGAUAUCAGGAGGAACACCGGUGGUGUAGACGGCUUUCUGGACCGUAACUGACGCUGAGACACGAAAGCGUGGGUAGCAAACAGG